GCCAGGCAUGGUGGCGUGUGCCUGUAAUCCCAGCUACUUGGGAGGCUGAGGCAGGAGAAUCACUUGAACCCAGGUGGCAGAGGUUGCAGUGAGCCGAGAUUAUGCCACUGCACUCCAGCCUGGGUGACAGAGUGAGACUCUGUCUCAA
This is an unclassified non-coding RNA of Papio anubis (olive baboon), 148 nucleotides long. It matches the Rfam family "Metazoan signal recognition particle RNA". Rfam says of the family: The signal recognition particle (SRP) is a universally conserved ribonucleoprotein. It is involved in the co-translational targeting of proteins to membranes. The eukaryotic SRP consists of a 300-nucleotide 7S RNA and six proteins: SRPs 72, 68, 54, 19, 14, and 9. The record is from Ensembl. NCBI's taxonomy places the organism in Eukaryota, Metazoa, Chordata, Mammalia, Primates, Cercopithecidae.